GACGAACGCUGGCGGCGUGCCUAAUACAUGCAAGUAGAACGCUGAAGAGAGGAGCUUGCUCUUCUUGGAUGAGUUGCGAACGGGUGAGUAACGCGUAGGUAACCUGCCUUGUAGCGGGGGAUAACUAUUGGAAACGAUAGCUAAUACCACAUAACAAUGGAUGACACAUGUCAUUUAUUUGAAAGGGGCAAUUGCUCCACUACAAGAUGGACCUGCGGUGUAUUAGCUAGUAGGGUAGGUAACGGCUCACCUAGGCGACGAUACAUAGCCGACCUGGGAGGGUGGACGGCUAACCUGGGACUUGGAACCGGCCCCGGCCUCCUCGGGAGGCCGCAGUAGGGGAUCUUCGGCCAUGGGGGCAACCCUGACCGAGCAACGCCCGGUGAGUGGAGGAGGUUCUCCGGUCGGUAAGCUCUGUUGUGAGGCAAGAACGAGUGUGAGAGUGGAAAGUUCACGCUGUGACGGUAGCUUACCAGAAAGGGACGGCUAACUACGUG
RNAcentral lists this ribosomal RNA (497 nucleotides) under uncultured bacterium. RNAcentral describes it as "partial 16S ribosomal RNA". It matches the Rfam family "Bacterial small subunit ribosomal RNA", at positions 28 to 507 of the family's 1533-position model. The record is from RNAcentral.